UCUCAUGUGCUCCAUUUUUCCCCAAUGAAAUACCCAUCGACAUAUAUACUAGAGCUAGCAAGUUUUCAGCCAUAAACGGUUUUGAAAUUUUCAACUUUAAAACUAUACAACUUGGAUUUGUAGCCCAGCUGCAAACGGGAUAUGUAUAUAUAAACUUUUGGACUAAAUGAACCCCAAGAUUCCAAUGCUAGCUCAUUCAGAGAAUAGGACAUUUCUUUUUGUCCCCUCCCUUCUUCACUCAUGGGCAAUACUGUUAGAAUUGUAAGAAAAGCAUUUCCACUCUACUGGGCAGAAAGUUAUUGCCAAGGGAGUGCCUUGACUCAGGAGAGUUUUGAGAAGGGGAGGAAGAAAUAAAAAGGAAAAUAACACAAAAUGAAAUGGGUAGACUUGAGAGUAAAAAAUUAAGAAAAAAAGAGGGUUAAGGAUUUUAAAAAUCCAUAAUAAAGUCAGGCACCAUGCCUAUAAUCCUAGCUACUCAGGAGGUUGAUUGAGGUCGGAGGAUUCCAGUUCAAUGGCAGUCCUGACCUUUAGGUCUGUGAGACUCUGAUCUCUAAUUAUUUAACCAGCAAAAAAAGACAGAAAUGGAGUUCAAGUGGUAGAGCACUAGCCUUCAGUGGAAAAUCUCCCAGACAGGGCCCCAGGCUGUGAGUUCAAGUCUGCGUAGCACAGAAAUUUGUGUAAACACACACACUUUACCAAAACAGAAAGUUUAAGUGAAAGGAGGAAAUAUCCAUGGAAUUUCUGUAAGCCUUAUCUAGACAAGCCUCUACACUGAGUGACCAGUUAAGUCACUAUCUUGCCCAGGAGAAGACUCCUAGUUUCUGAGGAUGCAGUGGCAAAACAAAAAGUCAGUCACCCGUUUGAAGGUCAUUUUAAGCUAAUCUGGGCAGAAUUUGAGGAAAUGUUAGAAAUCACGUAAUUCCUCCCCUCUCACCCCCCACCCCCACCCAAUAGAAUGGUCAACUAAAUGUAUCUUUUUCCAGUGCAAGUGAUUAAACCCUAGACCUUGGGAAUGCAUGUCUAUAGAAUAUCAUUAGAGGCACACAACUUUGCAGCAGAUGCAGUAUCCCUGCUCUGCCUCUUCUCUGCAGGUUUGAUGGCUUCUUUGGGCUAUGGUUUCUCUUCUCAUCAUGACAGUGAUCAUACUUAUGUCAUGUCACCGGGACUAUAGGCAACCACAAAGCAUUUACUGUUAAUCUUAGUACACGGGAAACACUCUAUACCUGAUAGCUAUUAUUAGUAUAACCACACAUUUUGUGGUAUUUCAUUGAUACUGCUCUCCAAAUAUUUCCAGCUCUCUCUGCUUCUUGGCACUUACAUGUUUAGCGGGAGCCAUGUGAAUAAUUAUAACCAAUGUUUUGUGAGCAAGUGACAUGGGUUACAUCUAGGGCAGGACAAGUAGUUCUAUGUCCUCAGUGAGCUUUUAUGAUGGAGAUGGCAAUGGUGAUUAUUCCAUGUACCUAAAAAGGACUCCACCUGAACUUAUGAUGAAAUAGCACAAGUAAGAAAAAAACUCUUGUUCUAAGUACAGAGAAUUAGACAGUAUUUGUUUCUAUCGUAUUACCUGGACUAUUCUGACUGAUGUUUCCUAGUUCAGUUUUAUACCAUGAUUUCCCUUCUAUCAUUCAAUUUAAUCUUCAUAAUCUAGAGAAAAAGGCAGGAAAUACAUAUUUAGUAGACAUGAAUUUCAGAUCACUUAUUGAAUGAACAUUAGGUAAGUUGUAUUGAUAUAUUUGCAAGCUAGCUUUUUUAGAUUUUUGUCAAAUCCAAAAUAUUUUUUCAGUGCACUGUGCUCAGAUGCAAAGGCUCUUCAGAUAUAACUCUGAUAAUGUAAUUACUAACAUGAGCCUUUAACCAAAUAUUAAUAAGAAAACCAACAUUUCCUGAAUGUUUAUAAUAGCAUCCCACUGGCGUUAACAUGCCAUUGAUAUUAAAAUGUCUCACUGGCUCUACACUACUAGAAACAAACAUGACUGCCAUUUAAAUCAUGGCAUUAAAAAAUUAUUACAAUGGUAUAAACUUGUUGAAAGACAAGUGCAUUAACUUGUAUGUGAUUCCUCUGAAGAUCAA
Molecule: long non-coding RNA, 2070 nt
Organism: Perognathus longimembris pacificus (Pacific pocket mouse)
Lineage: Eukaryota; Metazoa; Chordata; Mammalia; Rodentia; Heteromyidae
Exons: 3
Source: RefSeq, a predicted model, not a curated record